This is an RNA transcript of Phascolarctos cinereus (koala), 2900 nucleotides long. It is a transcript of the gene named thiosulfate sulfurtransferase like domain containing 3, with no coding region annotated. The record is from RefSeq and is a predicted model, not a curated record. NCBI's taxonomy places the organism in Eukaryota, Metazoa, Chordata, Mammalia, Diprotodontia, Phascolarctidae.
UGAGCUGAGCCGGGUAGGUCAGCUGAGCAUGCCUGCUGAAGCUGCUCGGUUUAGAGAUACUCUGGGCCGAGGAGACCAGGCAGAGCCGGGAGAGCGCGCGGGGGUGGACGGUGUGAGCCGCGCGGAGGAGACGGGCCAUAGCCAUGUCCCCGAGAGCGCUGCUGCAGUUGAGGAGCGCGGUCAGGGCUGCCUGGGGCUCGAGAGUUUGGGGAGCCUCUGCUCGCUGUUUUCUGGGGCAAGGGACAGCCCCCAGAUCAGCGGCCGCCUGGAAGGCGUUGAGAUCAUCAGAAGAAGUCCACCAUAAUUUCUGUACUGCUGCUUCUCAGAGUGUCACCUACAAAGAACUGAAAAAUUUGCUACAUUCCAAAUCCAAUUUGUUGAUUGAUGUUAGGGAGCCAUGGGAAAUUCUAGAAUAUGGAAAAAUUCCAGGGUUUCUCAAUAUACCAUUGGGUGAAAUAGAUCAAGCUCUACAAAUGGAUUCAGAGGACUUUAAAAAGAAGUACAAUCAAGAUAUGCCUUCUAAGUCUGACACCCUGGUGUUUUCUUGUCUAGGAGGAGUGAGAAGCAAGAAAGCUCUAAAUACUGCCUUAUCAUUAGGUUACAAAAGUGCUCGGCACUAUCCUGGAGGUUGGAAAGAGUGGGAAAGCUAUGAAUAUCCAGAGAAGAAAAAAUGACAUGACAAUGAAUUUUGAAAUCCCAAUUAACUGUUUUGAAAACUAUUUAUUUUUAAGUGAGACUUCUUUGACUCUGAAGAAAUGCAAUCUUUUUAAUAAUUCGUCUGUACAUAGAAAGUUGACAGCAUCACAGAAAGAAUGGAUAAGAGGUAAGACCAACAGAUUUGUGAGAUUUGUAAAGAUAAAUGAAAAAUUAAUCUUUCUUAAUUAUCUGUUGGAUUUUUACAAUUGCACAUCCUACCAACAGCUUCUGUUUAAAACGGACCAAUCAUUCUUCCUAAUUCCAACAUUUCCGUCAAAGGCACCAUUAUACUAGUGACCAAGGUUUGAGAACAUGCAGUCCUUUUCAAUUCUUCACUCUCCUUCCCUGACCCCCCACCCCCAUAAAUAUCCGGUUGCCAGAUUAUGUUGGUUCUACAUGCCACAUUUGUCCCCUCCUCUCUAUUCUCACUACAACAUCACUUGUUAGACCUCUAAUCCUUCUGGCCUAGGCUACUGUAAUAGUUUCCUAAUUGGUCUCCUUGCCUCCAGUCUCUCUUUAGUAACCAAACUGAUAUCAGGUGUGGCCAUGUCACUCCCCUCCUCUAGAAACUCCCAUGCCUCCCCAGUUUCUUUAGGAUAAUAAAAACUCUUGUUCGGCAUUUAAAAACCUUUCACAGCCUGGCUCCAGGCUCUUUCCAGGCUUACUGCAUGUUACUCUCCUUCACACACUUGGUGUUGCCUAUAUACAACAUUCUUUCUUCUUGCUGUCUCCCAUUCCUAGAAUGCAUCCACUCCGGCAGUUUGGGAGUCCCAGACUUUCUUCAAACUUGAAUCAAGUGUACCACCCCCACUGUUAGAAGUAUUCCUGCCUCUCCAUAUUAUUUUAUUAUUUAUUAUUAUUUGUUUUAUUUUGUUUUGUAUUUAUUUACAUAUGUCUAGUUUCCCUCCAAUAGAAUAUGUCUCUUGAAGACAGAAAAAUAUUUUGGUUUUGUAUGCUUAGCACUUAGCAUAAUGCCUGGAACAGAGCUCUUGACCUUUGUUGAAUGAACAGAAAAAAGAAAUUUAGUGUUCUGUUCUUUUAUAUGUGAGUAAAAAGAUUACUUAAUAAAUGAGAAAUUGGAAUUUUAUCACAGGCUUUUUGUAUGCUGAAAAGUUUCUGGUGUAAAUAAAUGAUUGUUAAUAAGGCAUUAUACACAUGGAAAUUUGUGCUUAAAAAUAUCUAAGUACAUUUGCACUACUGUAUUGUGACUAUUUUAUCAUUAGUCAAUAUUCUGGAUUGUUUUUAAACAUCAGAAAAAAAAUUCAUGGAAUCACAGUAUUUCACAAUUUGAAAGGGAUUUUAGAGAUCCAGCUAGUCCAAUUCCUACUGGUAGCAUGAAUCCCAUAUACAAUAUUCUUGUAUUCAUUAUUUGCUUGCAUAUCUCUAGUGUUGGAGCUUGUGAUUUCCCAAGGCUGGCUAAUUCAUCUUUGGAUGGCCCCGCUUAUUAGGAUGUUAUUCCUUAUACUGUCAAAAUCUGCUUUCCUUAUCCUUCUUCCCCCCAUUACUCACCCCUGGUCUUCUUAGUCUAGUCAGAGUAUUGCCAUAUGGAGCUAAUUUAAUCCUUCUGCAUGACAAGACUUCAAAUAUGUAUAGCUGGUAGUACUGUAGUCUACCUGUCCCACAAGUUAAUAUGCCCAUUGCCUUUAUUUGAGGCUUUUUCUAAAACUGCCUUGUCUGAAGUUUCCUUCACAAGGAAGUGAAGAUUAAAAAAGCUAUCUGAAAUAACUAUCACUUUGGUGUACUGUGUAUGACUGUAAUUUGAUUUAAAACUUUUUAAAAAAAAUUCAGUUUUACUUUCAAGUCCAAAUUCUCUCUCUCCCAACUAUCCGCUCCUGUUCCUGCCCCCCCGCCUAAAAAAACAAUUAUAAACACAUACAGUCAAGCAAAAUAAAUUCCUGCACUGACGAUGCCACCCCACCUUCUGGGGGAAAAAAAGCCUCAAUCUGUAUUUUGAGUCCCUACCUUAUCAUGAGUUGUCUGGAAUUGUGGUUGGUCAUUGUCAUGAUCAGAAUUUCCAAGUCUUUCAAAGUUCUUGUCCUUAUAAUACUGUUGUUGCUGUAGAAAUUAUUCUUCUGAUUCUGCUCACUUCACUUUAUAUCAGUUCAUACAAGUCUUCCUUGGUUUCUCUGAAACCAUUUUCAUCUUCAUUUCUUACAGCAUAGUAGGAUUACAUCAUUUUUAUAUACCUUAACUUGUUCAGCCAC